UCUUCACAUUGUAUAAAAAGGAGCCAGUUC
Molecule: non-coding RNA, 30 nt
Filed under: Rattus norvegicus (Norway rat)
Lineage: Eukaryota; Metazoa; Chordata; Mammalia; Rodentia; Muridae
Source: RNAcentral